GGCUAAAUAACAUAAAUGGUAAUGUAUAAAAUUGCAAAUUUUAGAAUAAAGGUUCAAUUCCUUUUUUAGCCU
RNAcentral lists this transfer RNA (72 nucleotides) under Cyanophora biloba. RNAcentral describes it as "tRNA-Cys". It matches the Rfam family "tRNA". From Rfam's summary of the family: Transfer RNA (tRNA) molecules are approximately 80 nucleotides in length. Their secondary structure includes four short double-helical elements and three loops (D, anti-codon, and T loops). Lineage: Eukaryota; Glaucocystophyceae; Cyanophorales; Cyanophoraceae. RNAcentral also lists the same sequence under 1 other name. The record is from RNAcentral.